This 469-nucleotide ribosomal RNA is filed under the name uncultured bacterium. Its description in RNAcentral is "bacterial SSU rRNA". It matches the Rfam family "Bacterial small subunit ribosomal RNA", at positions 338 to 798 of the family's 1533-position model. The record is from RNAcentral.
CCUACGGGGGGCAGCAGUGGGGAAUCUUCCGCAAUGGACGAAAGUCUGACGGAGCAACGCCGCGUGUACGACGAAGGCCUUCGGGUUGUAAAGUACUGUCUUCAGGGACGAACGGCAGGUAUGAAAAUAUUGUACUUGCAUGACGGUACCUGAGGAGGAAGCCCCGGCUAACUACGUGCCAGCAGCCGCGGUAAUACGUAGGGGACAAGCGUUGUCCGGAAUCAUUGGGCGUAAAGGGCGCGUAGGCGGAUAAUUAAGUCUGGUGUGAAAACCUAGGGCUCAACCCUGGGACUGCAUCGGAAACUGGUGAUCUUGAGGACAGGAGAGGAAAGUGGAAUUCCACGUGUAGCGGUGAAAUGCGUAGAUAUGUGGAGGAACACCAGUGGCGAAGGCGACUUUCUGGACUGUAACUGACGCUGAGGCGCGAAAGCGUGGGGAGCAAACAGGAUUAGAUACCCUGGUAGUCCCU